This 260-nucleotide ribosomal RNA is filed under the name uncultured bacterium. RNAcentral describes it as "partial 16S ribosomal RNA". It matches the Rfam family "Bacterial small subunit ribosomal RNA", at positions 333 to 590 of the family's 1533-position model. The record is from RNAcentral.
UAAAUCCUACGGGGCGCAGCAGUGAGGAAUAUUGGUCAAUGGGAGAGAUCCUGAACCAGCCACGCCGCGUGAGGGAAGACGGCCCUAUGGGUUGUAAACCUCUUUUGUCGGAGAACAAAACCCGGGACGAGUCCCGGACUGCGUGUAUCCGAAGAAAAAGCAUCGGCUAACUACGUGCCAGCAGCCGCGGUAAUACGUAGGGUGCGAGCGUUAAUCGGAAUUACUGGGCGUAAAGGGUGCGCAGGCGGUUGAGUAAGGCA